RNAcentral lists this ribosomal RNA (524 nucleotides) under uncultured bacterium. RNAcentral describes it as "bacterial SSU rRNA". It matches the Rfam family "Bacterial small subunit ribosomal RNA", at positions 540 to 1067 of the family's 1533-position model. The record is from RNAcentral.
GUUAUCCGGAUUUAUUGGGUUUAAAGGGAGCGUAGGCCGGAGAUUAAGCGUGUUGUGAAAUGUAGACGCUCAACGUCUGCACUGCAGCGCGAACUGGUUUCCUUGAGUACGCAUAAAGUGGGCGGAAUUCGUGGUGUAGCGGUGAAAUGCUUAGAUAUCACGAAGAACUCCGAUUGCGAAGGCAGCUCACUGGGGCGCAACUGACGCUGAAGCUCGAAAGCGCGGGUAUCGAACAGGAUUAGAUACCCUGGUAGUCCGCGCGGUAAACGAUGGAUGCCCGCUGUUGGGCCAACUGGUUCAGCGGCCAAGCGAAAGCAUUAAGCAUCCCACCUGGGGAGUACGCCGGCAACGGUGAAACUCAAGGGAAUUGACGGGGGCCCGCACAAGCGGAGGAACAUGUGGUUUAAUUCGAUGAUACGCGAGGAACCUUACCCGGGCUUGAAUUGCAGAGGAAGGAUUUGGAGACAAUGACGCCCUUCGGGGCCUCUGUGAAGGUGCUGCAUGGUUGUCGUCAGCUCGUGCCG